CCCUUAGAUGUUCUGGGCCGCACGCGCGCUACACUGAUGCAUUCAACGAGUUUCUUCCUGGUCCGAGAGGAAUGGGUAACCUUUUGAAAGUGCAUCGUGAUAGGGAUAGACUAUUGCAAUUAUUGGUCUUCAACGAGGAAUUCCUAGUAGACGUAGUUCAUCAGACUGCAUCGAUUACGUCCCUGCCCUUUGUACACACCGCCCGUCGCUCCUACCGAUUGAAUGCUCAAGUGAGCCAUUCGGACUUUCAUCAUGCUGGUUUCCAGUUUUGAUGAAGGAAAGUCUUGCGAACCUUAUCAUUUAGAGGAAGGAGAAGUCGUAACA
This 324-nucleotide ribosomal RNA is filed under the name uncultured eukaryote. RNAcentral describes it as "partial 18S ribosomal RNA". It matches the Rfam family "Eukaryotic small subunit ribosomal RNA", at positions 1470 to 1796 of the family's 1831-position model. The record is from RNAcentral.